RNAcentral lists this ribosomal RNA (539 nucleotides) under Microtermes sp. BDIT051. RNAcentral describes it as "16S ribosomal RNA". The stretch from base 288 to 447 matches the Rfam family "Bacterial large subunit ribosomal RNA", at positions 2473 to 2632 of the family's 2925-position model. The record is from RNAcentral. Lineage: Eukaryota; Metazoa; Arthropoda; Insecta; Blattodea; Termitidae.
UUUGUUUAUUUUCUUGUUUUUUUUAUUGUUUUUGUUGAUUGUUUAUUGAAGUAUCAUUUUUGUUGUUGUAGGUUUUUGAUUUAAUUUUUGAUGCGAUAGUUUACUUGUACUNNNNNNNNNNNNNNNNNNNNNNGGUUUUUAUUUAUGUUUGUUUUGUUGUUUUAUUAUUUCUUAUUGUUUUGUUGGGGUGAUGGGAGGAAAUUUCUUAACUCCUCUUUAUUUAUGAUAUACUUGUUUGUAUUUAUUUUGAUCCAUUUAUUUUGAUUAUAAGAUUAAAUUACCUUAGGGAUAACAGCGUUAUCCUCCUUGAGAGUUCUUAUUGGCAGGGGGGUUUGCGACCUCGAUGUUGGAUUAAGAUUAAUUUUUGGUGUAGAAGCUGAAUUGAUUGGGUCUGUUCGACCUUUAAAAUCUUACAUGAUCUGAGUUCAGACCGGCGUGAGCCAGGUUGGUUUCUAUCUAUAAUGUGUAUUUUUAUGCCUUAGUACGAGAGGACCGGGUAUUUGGAAUAAUUUUGUUGGGAUUGUAUUUUAUUAAUAGGU